RNAcentral lists this ribosomal RNA (425 nucleotides) under uncultured bacterium. Its description in RNAcentral is "partial 16S ribosomal RNA". It matches the Rfam family "Bacterial small subunit ribosomal RNA", at positions 354 to 796 of the family's 1533-position model. The record is from RNAcentral.
GUGAGGAAUAUUGCACAAUGGAGGAAACUCUGAUGCAGCAACGCCGCGUGGAGGAUGACGCAUUUCGGUGUGUAAACUCCUUUUAAGAGGGAAGAUUAUGACGGUACCUCUUGAAUAAGCACCGGCUAACUCCGUGCCAGCAGCCGCGGUAAUACGGAGGGUGCAAGCGUUACUCGGAAUCACUGGGCGUAAAGGGUGCGUAGGCUGACUUUUAAGUCAGGCGUGAAAUCCAAUGGCUUAACCAUUGAACUGCGCUUGAAACUGGGAGUCUAGAGUUCAGAAGGGGCAGAUGGAAUUAGUGGUGUAGGGGUAAAAUCCGUAGAUAUCACUAGGAAUAUCAAAAGCGAAGGCGAUCUGCUGGGAGGAUACUGACGCUGAGGCACGAAAGCGUGGGGAGCAAACAGGAUUAGAAACCCCGGUAGUCC